RNAcentral lists this ribosomal RNA (497 nucleotides) under uncultured bacterium. RNAcentral's name for it is "partial 16S ribosomal RNA". It matches the Rfam family "Bacterial small subunit ribosomal RNA", at positions 28 to 507 of the family's 1533-position model. The record is from RNAcentral.
GACGAACGCUGGCGGCGUGCUUAACACAUGCAAGUCGAGCGAACAGACGAGGAGUUUGCCCCUCGGACGUUAGCGGCGGACGGGAGAGUAACACGUGGAUAACCUACCUAUAAGACUGGGAUAACUUCGGGAAACCGGAGCUAACACCGGACAACAUACUGAACCGCAUGGUGUAAUAGUGAAAGACGGUUUUGCUGUGAUUUAUAGACGGAUUCUCGCCGUAUUAGCUAGUUGGUAAGGUAACGGGUUACCAAGGCAACGAUGCGUAGCCGAACUGAGAGAGGGAUAGGCCACCCUGGAGCUGAGACGGGGUCCAUGCGCCUACGAGAGGCAGCAGUAGGGAAUCGUACGCAGUAGGCGGGAGCAUUACGCAGCGGCGCCACGUCAGUUGUGAAGAUCCUCGGAUCGUGAAGCUCUGUUAUUGGGGAAGAACCACUGUGUAAGUAACUGUAGACGUAUUGACGGUACCUGAACAAGAAGCCACGGCUAACUACGUG